Long non-coding RNA from Engraulis encrasicolus (European anchovy), 970 nucleotides. RefSeq lists it as uncharacterized. The transcript has 3 exons. The record is from RefSeq and is a predicted model, not a curated record. NCBI's taxonomy places the organism in Eukaryota, Metazoa, Chordata, Actinopteri, Clupeiformes, Engraulidae.
ACGCCUUUGUUCUCACUUUCCUGUUCAACUCACAAUACAAGUCACGAAUAGCUUUUUAAUUACAUUAGUUCUACCACAAUUGUAAAUAGUGCACAUUGCAUGAAAGGAAAAUCGAAAUGCAUAAUUUUGAUUUUCAUUAUAUGCAAUAGUCAGCAGCAUUUACGGUUGUGGUAAAACUAAUGUAAUCACCAAGCUAUUCGUGACUUUUAUUUUGACAAAAGAUUUGAACAGGAAGUUACGAGCGGAAGUGUUAUUGUAGCCAUUUCGACCGUGCCACAACGAUGCCGACAGCUCUCUUUGCCACCCCUACAACGUGCUUGUUCAAGCAGCUCCUUUUCUUUCAGGUUUUGUGCUUAGAAAGAGUGACAUGAUGCAGGAUGGAGUUGCGAGGAGUUCCCGGACACGGUCAGAGAUGGCUGGAACAGUCGGAUGGAUUUGCAAUCAUGCAAUAAAUGCCCACAUAAGACGCCAUGGUCAAAUGGUUGGAGAUCGUUGAGAGUUUGCAGCUAUUGAUGAAAGUUGUUUCCUUAAUAAAAGCAAGUAUCACCACAGAAGGGCCGGUGCAACAUGGCGACGGAAAAAGUGGGUAUUAAGAAUAUUAGGAGUAGGUGACCGCCAGAAACAUCCUGUCUUGUGGCUGGUGUGGUUAAACAAGUGCGUCCGGGAACCACCGUCAUCAGUGACCAAUGGGGCACUUACAGGAGUGCAUUGACUGCGACAGGCUACAGGCACUUCACAGUGAACCACUGUCAGUAGUUUGCGGAUCCAAACACCUUGCGCGCCUCCCAGUAUGUCAACCCCAGCUUUCUCUGUGGACCAUGCAACUUGGACUUUCCGAGUUUCAUAUAGGACAAUGCAUCUUGCUCUGCAUCUGUAAACCAUGGAUUCAUCUUUUGGACAUUUUCAGGAGAAUGGCUGUGUGUGCGUGUGUGUGUGUGUGUGUGUGUGUGUGUGUGCGUUGGUCGGUCAG